Molecule: ribosomal RNA, 467 nt
Filed under: uncultured bacterium
Lineage: Bacteria
Description: partial 16S ribosomal RNA
Rfam family: Bacterial small subunit ribosomal RNA
Source: RNAcentral
GACGAACGCUGGCGGCGUGCUUAACACAUGCAAGUCGAACGGAAAGGCCCUGCUUUUGUGGGGUGCUCGAGUGGCGAACGGGUGAGUAACACGUGAGUAACCUGCCCUUGACUUUGGGAUAACUUCAGGAAACUGGGGCUAAUACCGGAUAGGAGCUCCUGCUGCAUGGUGGGGGUUGGAAAGUUUCGGCGGUUGGGGAUGGACUCGCGGCUUAUCAGCUUGUUGGUGGGGUAGUGGCUUACCAAGGCUUUGACGGGUAGCCGGCCCGAGAGGGUGACCGGCCACAUUGGGACUGAGAUACGGCCCAGACUCCUACGGGAGGCAGCAGUGGGGAAUAUUGCACAAUGGGCGGAAGCCUGAUGCAGCAACGCCGCGUGCGGGAUGACGGCCUUCGGGUUGUAAACCGCUUUCGCCUGUGACGAAGCGUGAGUGACGGUAAUGGGUAAAGAAGCACCGGCUAACUACGU